UUGCUAUUGUCACACGAUCCCGUUUAAGUGGUUCAACAACUAGUUCUUUACUUACCAAGAUGCCACAUGACUGUGUUCCUUUUUUGGAAUAUGACCUUGCUCAAAACCCCAGUAAUCGGGACUUGGCAAUUCCUCUGGUAUCUACUCAUGUUCCUUACACUUGUUUACCUAAAUCUAUCAUUUCUUCUAGUUGCAAGAUUAUUUACAUUUGCAGGGACGCAAAGGAUGCUUUUGUUUCUUUGUGGUACUUUCUUGCCAGGCUGCAAAUGUCGAAAAAUGUUGAACCUCUUCCUCUGGAAGGGGCAUUUGAGUUGUUUUGCAAUGGAAUUGCAAAUUUUGGACCAUAUUGGGACCAUGUUUUAGGGUAUUGGAGAGCAAGCUUCGAGUUCCCUGAGAAGAUAUUGUUCUUGACAUAUGAGGAAAUGAAGCAAGACACAGCUGCUCAUGUUAAGAAAUUAGCUGAGUUCAUGGGUUGUUCUUUCACCUUAGAGGAAGAGGAGGGAGGGGAGGUGCAAAAGAUAAUAAGCAUGUGUAGUUUUGAGAAGUUGAGCAGCUUGGAGGUCAAUAAAAAUGGGAAGCACCGUCCGGACACAUCACUUGCUAUUCAAAACAGUGUAUACUUCAGGAGAGGUGAGAUAGGCGACUGGGCAAAUCACUUGACACCUGAAAUGGGAGCACGUCUAGAUGACAUAAUGGAGCAGAAACUCAAGGGUUCAGGCUUGAAGCUGCCCAGGUGACUGUGCCUAGGGUCCCAUUUGCUUAUGAUUAUUGCCCAAGCGGGUUCAUCAAAAGCUGUUAUCAACAUCUCGUGAAACAGAAACUGUGUAUCCCAAUAAAUACCCUCUUUGUUCAUCUCUUGUAUUUCCUAUCAAGUAUUCACAUUUUGUGAAUCAUCCAUGUCAAUAAGCAAUGUUCUUUUGUGAAUCUGUGUUUGUGACUUUCAUUGAUUUCCUUGCAUGCUUGUAAGAAUUCAAAAUGGGAUUCGUUUUUUUAUUUAUUUAUUUAACACAAGUGCAUGCAUUCCAUUAAUCAGUUGGAUAAAAAAUAAAUUUACUCUAAUAUAUAAUAUUAGAGUGUUUUCUUCACAGAAAUUGCAGUGUGUUUUCUUCACAGUUAUACAUGUUUUAAAAGAACCGAGACAACCCAUACAUGAGGGCGGAGCAAAGACCAACCGAGACAACCAUCCAUUAAGAUUGUUGAAUUGCAGAUCAAAUGAACGUAGGCGGCACAUCUGCUGGAAGGAUCUCGAAAUGCCUUGUAAUUGGUUAAAAUAAAGAUCAAGAUCUGUAGGAGAACUCGUGUUUUCCACUCCUAAAAUAAGCCCAGUUGCCGGCUUCAUGUGCAACAGAGGCACAUAGAGAAUCUGAAAGCAGUUUUUAUGCACUAUCAGCAGAAUAAUUUGAUCAGUCAGAAUGAAAACCCCCCCCCCCAGGCUCACAAAUCUUCUUACUUCAAACAAAUCUUUUGGAACCGAUAUAUAUGUCGAGUGAUGGCUUGAUUUAUACCGGAGAUUGUGUUGGAAAAUUAAAGAAGCAUGGCUUAAUUUGUACCUUGGAUGCGCAAAUUGAUUACAGGGAAAAAAUGACAGAAAGUGAGUUGCAGGGAAUGAAAAAGGCAUUAGUAAACUCAACACCUUUCAGGGUAUCGUUCCUUGGUUUGCUCCCUUUUAUUUCUUAUUUUGUUUUUCCUGCCAUUGUCUAAUGUUUUUCUAACUCGCAGUCUGGUCUCUGCAGAGAAUGAGAAAGCACAAACUCUUUAAGAGAAGAUAUUCUCCGGCAAUGGCAUCAAACAGAAAAGUCCGACGUCAACUAAGUGAGUGUAUAGCGUUGCUGCUGUGUUUACAGAAAAACACCAUUGUCAUGUGUUUGGUUACGGUCUAAACAUAAUUUUUUAUCGGUGAGACCCAUUACCAUUUGCAUUUAAACCGCAAGAUAACCAGAAGCAACUUUAAGCUGCGUUUUGUUUUGAGUUGCAAAUUGUGUUAUAAAUAGAGGCCACAAGAAAAAGAGCAGAAACAGAGCAGUGAAUAGUGAUUAGUGGAGAGCAACUCCCUCUCACCACUGACCUCCGCCAGCCACUGCUUUUUCUCUUCUCCUUCUCUUCUCGUUCUCCUUCGUCUUCUGCAUUCUCUACUGUUCACGUGAACAAUGGAGAGUGGAGAGCAGCUCACCAUCAACCCCUGCUGUUUCCACCGCCAGCCACUGCUCUUCCUCUUCCCCUUCUCCUUCGUCUUUUACGUUCUCCACUGUUAAUGUGAACAGUGGAGAGCAGCUCACCACCGGCCUUCACUAUUUCCACUGCCAGCCACUGCUCUUCCUCUUCCCCUUCCCCUUCUCCUUCCCCUUCUCCUUCUCAUUCAUCUUCUGCAUUCUCCACUGUUCAUGGCCGGACUGGGCCUAGCCCAAACCUAAAUGUAUUUGACUGGGUCCGACCCAGUAAAAUAAAAAAAAAUCCAAAUUUUUUUUCUUAAAUAUUGUGUUUUAUUUGAAAAACUAGUGUUUAAAAUUAUUCAAUGACACUACAUAAUUAUAUUAGAAGGAGAUCGCACGAUGACGUAGCAUGUGCAGAAUUUGAUUGCAAUCCUAAUUUUUUUCCUAAUGAUAUUUUACAUGAUGUAAUGAUAUCUUACCUGAUGUUGGUGCAAGUUCAGGAAGCCAUGGAAACUGUAGUUCUUGUCGGAUGGAUUUCGUAUAUGAUUGAAUUGCAAAUAGUUUAAUGGAACAAUAAAAAAUACUUUAUAUAAAGUAUUGUUUAUUUCAUGAUGUAAUAGCAGUAGUUAAAUCUAUAAUAUUUCAAUUAAAAACCAUCAAUAUUAAUAUAUGUCUUUUUUAGUUAUUUUAUAACCUCAAUUUGAAAAGUAUUCUUUAACCAAACACAUUAAACUACUUUUUGUUCAACCUCAAUUUCAACCACAGUUUUAACCAAACAUAUAUUUUUCCAAACUAAUCUAAACUAAAAGUAUUUUUUAUAAAAACAAUUUUUUUCAAACCACAACAGCUACCACAAUACCAAACACACACAAAAAAAACUGUACUGAUAAGUAAGUUACAAUGCCACCACUGAUUUAGGAUCUGCUUUAGAUCUUAUAAGGUGAAAGUUGAAAGCUAGCAAGAAUCGUCACAGAGAUGAACAGAGAAGUGAAUAGAAUUAGAGGGAGAUACUGCAAUGCAGAGGAAGAAGAAAAACAUUUCUGUGUAUAUUCACUUAUAUUUUUUUACCAGCGCUGUUACAUUCAUUUUAUAUGAACCAAGAUGAGAAGCUUGUUUACGUAAUCUAAUCAACAGUAACAGACUUUGUUAACUGUCUAACAAUAUUAACAAACUUUCUAACCAUUGUAUUCUCUAUUCUCUUGACAGGUGGCAGAAGCAGAGCCUUUGAUAUCUUGACAUUCCCCCUCAAUCACAAGCGUGAAGGAACCAAGCAUAAGAUUGGAACAGUGACGCCGAAAUAAAGGAGUGGAAAGACCUUUAGUUAGGAUAUUAGCAAAUUGAUCGGUAGAAGAGACAUGUUGAACCAACAAAUCACCUUUGACAACACGUUCUCAAACAAAAUGAUAAUCAAUUUGGAGAUGCUUCAUUCUGGAAUGGAAGACUGGAUUGGAAGCAAGGGAAAUAGUUGAGAUAUUGUCAUAAUGAAUUAACGGAGGGAUAUGUAAAGGAAUGUGAAUGUCACAGAGCAGUUGGCGAAUCCAGGCAAGUUUGGCAGCAGCAAUUGCUAGAGCCCGAUACUCAACCUCAGUAGAUGAUCGAGAAACAAUAUGUUGUUUCUUAGAAGCCCAAGAAAUAGGACUGGAGCCGAGGAAAACAAUAGAGCCAGAGACAGAACGUCGAUCAUUGGGAUCGCCAACCCAGUCAGCAUCACUAUAAGCUUGUCGAUUAAGAAGACUAGGCUGAAAAUGAAGGCCAAAAUCAAGGGUACCUUUAAGAUACCGCAAGAUUCUUUUGACAGCCACAACAUAAGAAUGCAUGGGAUUAUGCAUAAAUUGACAAGCUCGGUUCAUAGAGAAAGCAAUAUCGAGCCUGGUGAACGUGAGAUACUGCAAUGCGCCAACUAUGCUCCGAUAUUGUUGUGGAUGAGAGUAGGCUUAGCCAUCAUCUUUGAGCAAAUGAUGAUGAGGAAGACAAGAAGUAUCAAAUGAUUUGGAAUUUUGUAAAUCAACUCUAGCAAGUAAGUCUGUGAUAUAACUUAUCUAGGACACAAACAAACCAGAAGGGAGAUAAGAGAUUUGCAAUCCCAAAAAAUAAUUCAACUUACCGGUAUCCUUCAUAUCAAAUUUCUGAGUCAAGGCAGCAAUGACUGAAGAAAGAAGAGAAUAAUGACUGCUAGUAAGAAUGAUAUCAUCUAAAUAGAGUAGCAAUAUCACAACACUAAGAGAAGAAUGCUGAACAAACAAAGAGGGAUCGACAAGAGAUGCUUGAAACCCCAAACAUGGUAAAAAAACUGGUAAAACGUUCAUUCCAGGCACGAGGAGCCUGUUUAAGGCCAUACAAGGACUUUCUUAGUCUGCAAACAAAGUUAGCAGGAUAAAGCUUACUCAUAAAACCUUGGGGUUGAGUCAUAUAAACCUCCUCAUGAAGAAUACCAUGCAAAAAGGCAUUGGUAACGUCAAGCUACCGUAAGGACCAGUUAAACUGAGCUGCAAGAGUAAGAAUUAAACGAACCAUAGUAGGUUUUAUGACAGGACUGAAAGUUUCAUUAUAGUCAAUUCCUUCCUCUUGAAUGAAACCCUUAGCCACCAAUCGAGCUUUAUGCCUAGCUAUAGAACCAUCCGCAUGCUUCUUGAGUCGGUAGACCCAUUUACAGCCAACAAGAUUCUUAGCAGGUGGGAGAGGCACCAAAUCCUAAGUACCUUAUGCAUGAAGAGCAUCAAUUUCCUCCCACAUAGCAGACUGCCAUUCUGGAAAGGUUGAAGCAGCCUUGAAGGAACUGGGUUCAACCUGAGAAAAAGCAACAGACUAUACAGAGGUAAAGUAAGCCUUUCUUUUGGAAAUACCAUUCUUAAACCUGAUGGUCAUUGGAUGAAGAUUCAUCGGUGAAAGAGGUAAGACCACACACAGAUUCUCAGGUUGGAAGUCAGGAUCAAAUCUAGUGACAAAGAAGCGAUUGGUUUGAAUAAAAAAACAGAAAUACCCUUUAUACUGACCAGCAUACCCCAGAAAAAUACAAGUGGAAGUUUUGGGCUGAAGUUUGUUAGUAUUAUAAGGCUUGAGUAAAGGAAAACAAGCACAACCAAAAAUCCACAAAUGAGUAAUGACCAGUGGAGAACCAUAUAACAGGAAAUAAGGUGAUUUGAGUUGAAGAAUUUGACAGGGCAUUCUAUUAAUCAAAUAAAUAGAAGUAGCACAAGCACGAAACCAAAAUUUUGGAGGUAAAUGGGCAGUUUGUAACAGAGUGAUGGCUGUUUCUAAAAUAUACCUAUGUUUGCGCUCAGCAAGGCCAUUCUGUUUCGGAGUAUAGGGACAGGACAUUUGAUGGACAAUACCCUUGGUAAAGAGGUAAUGUUUGAAUUUAGUACUAAGAUACUCACCACCCCCAUCACUUUGAAAGACUCGAAGAGUAGCAGAAAAUUGAGCAACUAAAAAGGUAUGAAAGUAGGCAAAAAUGGAAUAAACCUCUCCUUUAUUGAUCAUCAGAAAAAACCAAGUAAAUCGAGUACAUUCAUCAAUGAAACUAACAUAAUAUCUGAAACCUUCAACAGAUACAGUGGGAGAAGAACCCCAAACAUCACUAUGUAUGACCUCUCAAGGUUUAACAAAUUUAACUGCGGGAUAGGGAAAAGGAAGUUUAGCAAGUUUACCCUCUAAAAAAGUGGUACAAACGAAUUUGGAUGUGUUUGAAGUGAAAGAAAUCUGGGAUUGAUUUAACAGAGUAGAGGUGACUAUGUUAGAGGGAUGACCAAAACGCUUGUGCCAGAGACUUGUGUUGACCUGUUUACCAAGAUAGCAAACUUGAUUAUUUUGAAAGAGAGAUUAUGAAGGAAACGAAAUGGAGAAAGGAAUAGGAUAUAACCCAGCUCUACACAGUCCCUUGAGAAGGACAUUUCCCAUGAAUUUGUCCUGAAUCCAAAAACCAAAAUCAUCACAAAUAAAUCGACAGUUGUUAUCUUUACACAACUUAUGAACCGAUAAUAAGUGUUGAGAUAGCUUAGGCACAUGCAAAACUUGCUUUAAUUGUAAUGAGCAUUGAUGAACAUCUAAAAUAAAAGAACCAAUAUUAGAAAUGGUCAAACUUGAACCUCCUGUAGUGGUAACAGUAUCAGAUCCUGAGAAAGGUGUAGCCAGAUUGAGUUGAGCCAAAUCAGAAGUCAUAUGUGUUGUGGUGCCAUUAUCAGCCAGCCAUAAUUGUUCAGGAGGGGAAGAAGAUGGAAAAUUGGCAUGCAUAGCACUAAGAUUACUGGAGGGAGGCCUGCCUUGAUAGCUGAAAUUACCUCUAUGAUAACAUUGAACGGCAGAGUGCCCAAAUUUUCAACAAAUUUGACAUUGAAUGGAAGUGGCAAAAGUACUUAGCAGAGUGUGGCGUUGAUAACAAUUAGCAGCUACAUGACCUUUUUUAGUACAAAUUUGACAUGUAGGAAUGUCAAUGCCAGAACCAAGAAUGCCAGGAUUAGAAGUAGGUGGAACCUAAUAAGGGCGUGGACUAGAUUGAUAAUGAUUACGUCCUCUGCCAUAACCCUUAAAAUUAAACCCCUGAUUGCCAAAGUAUCCUCCAGUAGAACCAUGAAAGCUACUGUGAUGACCAUUAAAUCCUCCAUUGAAACCAGAAGGAAAUUAAGAUGGUGGAGCAGACUUGGAGCUAGAAGGAUGAGAAUUAGAGUUACCUUUAUCAAGAGCAAGAGCCUUGCCAGGAGAUAUUUGAUGUUGAGCCAUCACUGCAGGAACAAACAGGGAAGCAGAAUAAGUUUGCUCAAGAAUGGCUUCUUCAGCUAGCAAUUGAGACCGAAAAUCUUUAAGGGAUAACACGUUGUCUCGGUCGCGAACAAUACACCUAAAGGUGUUAUAAUUAGAAGGAAGACCAUUGAGAGCCAAGAUUACAAUAUCAUCAUCUUCAAAAUAAACCCCUGCUACAGAAAGAUGGUCUCGAGCAUCUUUGAUCUUUUACAGAUAUUGAGACACAGAAUCUGAGCCCUUCUUGAUGGUUUGAAGCUCACUUUUCAUCUGAAAAAUAUGUGCCUUAGUAAUUGUGGAAAAUCUAUUCUUCAGUUGAAUCCACAUGUCAUGAGAGCUAACACAUUCAAUAACAUAGGAGAUUGCAGUUGAUGAGAGAGUAGCAAUAAUCAACUGCAUCAAUGUCCGGUCAUACAUUUUCCAAACCUGAUGAUCAUCAGUUUCAACACAUUCAAGGUCAGCAUCUGCAUCAAACCGAUUUGGACACUUUCUUGAUCCAUCAACAAAUCCUAAAAUACCAUAACUCUCAAGUAGAAUAUGCAUAUGAAAAUUCCAGAUGAGAUAAUUUGUGUCAUCCAGCUUGACUGUUACAGCUGUUGAAACUGUAGGAAGUAAACAGGUAAUAGGAGAUUGAACAAUUUAAAGUUGAGAAGUAGUCACCAUUUUAGAGUUCAAGAGAUAGCGAGGAAGAGAAUCACAUACGAUAGGCAUAGUCCCAGAUUUGAGAAGAGAGUUGAAGAAGAAUUUUUCAGUUUGACAAUAUAUCAAAUAGAUGAUAGGUAGAUCAAUUAUUAUGAAAGAAUUGGUUGAUUAAGGCGAUAAUAAUACCAGAAACAGAGAGUAGCAAGAUAUUAGAAGCAGAGAAAUCACAGGAUCACAAGAUAAUAACAAUCCUAAGCUCUGAUACCAUGAAAGCUAGCAAGAAUCAUCACAAAGAUGAACAGAGAAGUGAAUAGAAUUAGAGGGAGAUACUGCAAUGCAGAGGAAGAAGAAAAACAUUUCUGCAUAUAUUCACUUAUAUUUUUACCAACAUUGUUACAUACAUUCAUUUUAUAUGAACCAAGAUGAGAAGCUUGUUUACGUAAUCUAAUCAACAAUAACAGACUUUGUUAACUAUCUAACAAUAUUAACAAACUUUUUAACCAUUAUAUUCUUUAUUCUCUUGACAGGGCAGAAGCAGAGCCUUUGAUAUCUUGACAAAAGUAAAACACAAGGAAAUGCAUGCAUGCACACCACUAAUCUUUGAUUCUGGCGAGAACAGUGAUGACUACACUCUGAACCAAAUAGAAUUACAUUCCGAGAUGAAGAAAUUAAUAACACAGAGCAGUGCUAUAAAGCUACAUGUGAAACCAGAGAUUAAUAAGCAAUGCUGAAAAUUUUAUCAAGCAUAAGACGAGAGAAGCAUAGGACAUAUUUUUCCCACAAUUGAAUAUGUGAAUUGAGCACAGAUUUCCCUGUUGCAAACUGUUCCUAAUUUCUCAAAUGAUUAACUAGAAUACGAGUUGCACUUAAAAUUUUAAAGCAACAUAUAUGCUCUUGAUUUUUAGUGAAUUGCUGAAACAAACAUACAAGCUCGAUCACACCUCUAGAACAGAGUGACAGUUCAUGGUGACCUCAAAGACUGCAUCAAGUCCUCCAAGCUCUCGUAACUUUUCCCUAAAGCCCCCCCCAGUCUUCCUUAAUUACCAUGCCAGAUGUAUCUGAAUGAAUGCAACCCAUACAGUGAAAUGAAUAAGCAAUCAGAAAAGGAGAGAGAGAGAGUGAAAAAAUUUGUCACAAAACUAGAUAAUGGCGACCACAUAUCAAUAAUUCGAGAUAUGACGUGGGGCACUUUCAUCGUGAUUAUUGUUUGUCCAAUAAUGUUGGAUGUAUUAUUUCUUGUUAAGACUUUUUAGGUUGUGAAAAGUCCAAGAUGUAGUAUAAUAAAAUAAAUAUAACCUUUGAUUUUAUCAUUUAUAUUGAGCUGAAAUUUUGACAUACAAUUCUAAAGAUUUUGUGGUUAAAAUUUCAAGAUCUUAAAAAAAAGACCUUUAAAUAAGGAUUUAAAGUUACUAUGAGAUGGUCUUUAUUUACCUAUUUGGUAUUGUUUUUAUUUAUAUUAGGAAUUUUAAUUUAAUUAGUAUUUUAUUAUUAAAAAAUUCUAAUAAUAGAUUGAUUCUAUUAGUUAGGCAAGUUUUAAAUACAAUUUAUUUUUCUAUACAAAAUUUUAUAUCUAGAACAAAUAUAAAUAAAAAUAUUUAGUUUAUUUUUUGUUCGGGUAUUCAUAUUAUUAUUAAGAUUUUUUAAAAAUAUUUAGAGAUUUUUUUUUAUUUCGCUAUUGUGUUAGGACUAUAACCUUAAGGUUUGGAUGUUUGUGAAAGUGGAAGCGGUUACUUUUUAAAAUGUUUUUCACUUAGAAAUGCAUCAAAAUCAUAUAUAUAUUUUUUAUUUUUUAAAAUUAAUUUUUGACAUCAAAACAAUGCAAAAACACCAAAAAAUUAAUUUGAAAAAAAAUCAAAAAUUUUGAAAACCUCGAUCAAAAUGUUGUACCAAACACCCUCUUAGUUUUAUCUUAUUUUUAAAAAAUAAUUCUUGAUAUUAGCAAACAAAACAAUUUAAUAACACAAAAAAAUUAAUUUUAAAAAAUCAAAAUCUUAAAAAACUCUCGUCUAAAUGUUUGCUUUUAGUUUUAUCAUCGUUGCACUGCGUAAAGAUGCUAAAAAGAAAAUAGUUGAUAUAGCCACCUAAGUGCUGGUGGUGUUUCAGAGUGUAGUAGCGAUUGUUUUUUAAAGUGUUUUUUACUCGGAAAUGCAUUAAAAUAAUAUUUUUUUAUUUUUAAAAAAUUAUUUUUAACAUCAGCAUAUCAAAAUGAUCUGAAAAUACUGAAAAAAAUAUUAAUCUAAAUUAAAUAAAAAAAUAAAAAAAAAUCAAUCUCUUUUAAAAAUAUUUUUAAAAUGCAGAAACAAACAGGAUCUCUCAACCUGCUACAAAUAACUGCUGCAAUGGCCUUUCUUUAAUAUUUUACUUACACCAUUCUGCACAAUAUUUUCUUUUGUACAUCCAUGGAACCCUCUUUGCCUUCUACACAAAUUCAAAGCCCAUGCUAAAAACUACAAGGAAAUGAUCUCUACCUUUCUACAAGUUAAAGGCUUUUGGUACUUUCCGUCCUUCUUGGGAAGACCCAUCUCAGUUCAAGAACACUUCGAGCCUCAAUCCACUGAUAUAUUUGUCGUCAGCUUCCAAAAACGAAGGAAAUCUUUGGUUAAUGUUCUCUAAUAAGUACUAACACCUUUUCUCCUUCAACAGUGAAAUUUACGUGCCUUUCACACCUUUUUACGUUCGAACAUUUCAUUUGUUCUUGUGCUCUAAAUUCUAAAUUGAGUCUGUUUUUGUGAGUUCCAUUCUUCUAUUUAAAAGAUUAGAAAACGCAAGAUUGCAUCAAUGCUAAAUGCAAUUUCAAUAUCUGUGUGUGUGUCAAAUGCAUGGUGAUGUUACAUGAUGUGUUUGUUUUUACGUUUCAAAAAUAUUUUUUUAAAAUUAAAUUUUAUUUAUUUAUUUUUUAUUUUAAAUUAAUAUUUUUUAGUUUUUUCGGAUUAUUUUAAUUUACUGAUAUCAAAAUUAACUUUUUUAAAAUAAAAAAAAUAUUAUUUUAAUACAUUUCUGAGUAAAAAAUACUUUGAAAAGUAACUGCUACUACACUUCCAAAUAUACCCUUAAAAAAACAAAGUUAUGGAGUUGGAGGCUCUAAAUAUUCCUCAAAAUAUCAAGUCUUAAGGGCUCGGAGCUAUUAUCCAGUCUUAAAAUUUUUGCAUUUUAAAAAUAUUUUUAAAAAAAUGAAUAUUUUUUACUUUUUUUUAUUUUAAACUAUAUUUUUUUCUUUCUGUUUUUAUAUUGUUUUUAUGUAAAAAAUAAAUUUUAAAAAAUAUAAAAAUAUUUUUUUAAAAACAAUCACCAUACAAUAACAAAUAAAAUAUUAAUAUGAAAUAAAAUCUAAUUCUACCAGCAGACAGCUGAUAAGAAUACUAAAAAAGUGUAAAUUUUGACUUAAUUCAAUUAUUAGAAUUUGGGGCAGCGUAACAGUGUCAAAGAAAAUGUCAGAAAAGUAGGGCAAACAGUGCAAAUACCUUGGAUGAUGGUGACCAAAUAUUUGUAAUUUGAGACAUCUCGUUCUUGAAAAGAAAUAGUUAAUAGUGCCAAUAAUUUUUUUUUAUUAAUUUGAGGUGUUCAGACCAGUUUGCAUGCACCUCGACUAAUACUUACGGUUCUUGAAGUUAACGAAUAAAUAAGCCUCCAGUGGCCAUCAAUAUUAACAACUACAAGGCUCGAACUUGAGACCACAGGGGGGCAAACCCCUUGAUCCAAAACUCUUACCACUUGACCACCUACUAGAUGGUUAGUACCAAUAAUUAAUUUGCUCUCAACUUGCUACAAAUAGCUGCCAUGAUCACAUAUUCAAGAAACACUAGUUUAAGAGCUUGGGAUCAAGAGGUUUGCUCCCUCUGUAGUCUCAGGUUCAAGCCCUGUGGUUGCUCAUAUGAUGGCCACUGGAGGCUUACAUGGUCGUUAACUUCAGGGCCCGUGGGAUUAGUAGAGGUGCGUGUAAGCUGGCCCGGACACCCACGUUAAACUAAAAAAAAAAAAACACUAGUUUAUAAACCCUGAGGGGUAGCUCAACUGGUUAGAUUUUGAGUAUGUUUCCUAAUAAUCACGAGUUUGAGUUCUUUUAGGCCAACUGGAGGCUUACAUAGUUUUAAACUUCAGGACUCGUGAAAUUAGUAAAGGUACAUACAAAUUCAGUGGUGGAGCCAGAAAUUUUUAAAUGAGGAGGCAAAUUACUAACAAAUAUUUGAUAUUAUAUGCUAUACAUAUAUAUGUUAUAUAUAGAAAUGAAUUUGAAAUACAUGUGCCUCAAGUCAAGCAAAAUUAAUUUAAGAAUACUUUUAAAAUGAAAAAAACUUAUGUUAUAAUUGUUUUCUUCGAGAUUUUAUAUUUUAAAACUGCUUCAUAAUAAUUUUAUUUUUAAUUUCAUUAAAAAUAUAUUUCUCAAUAUAUACAACAAACUUUCAUUUAUCUAUUUCUAAAUCUUCCAAGUACUAGGAAAGUUGUUGACAACAAUUUUAUGCUGACAUAUGGUACAUAACAUCUAAAAUCAUAUCUUAAAAGAAUUGUCAUAAAUUGAAGUUGUUCUUACUGACUUGUUGUUUUGUACAAGUAGAUUAAAUAUAAAUAUUAAAUGUUUUUUUAAAUUUAUCUAUUAUGUCUCUAAUUUUUUUAGUUGUCUUAUACUUCAUUUUUAAUCAUUAGUAAAUUCAUUAUCAUCGUUUUUCAUAUGAAAUUCAUAACAAAACUUAUCAAUUCAUCAAAACUCAUUUCAAUUCAUAUCCAUUAGCAUAUAAUAUUACCCAUACACAUAUUAAUUCAACAAACCCAUAAAUUAUUAUAAACCCUAACAUUUUUAAUAACUAAUUUUUGGAGAUGUAGACCCAGUAUUUUUGGAGCUUCCAUAUCUAGUUGACCUAUCAGGAAGAGAUGAAGUUAACGUUUGGGAAUGCGGUGCAAACCAUGUUCCCCUAAAAUUAAAUUUUUUUUUGUUAAAAAUUAAUUUUUUGGUAUAUUUUGGAUCGUUUUGAUGCGCUGAUCUCAAAAAUAAUUUUUAAAAAAUAAAAAAACAUCAUUUUGAUGCAUUUCGGCACAAAAAAUACUUUGAAAAGCAACUGUAACCACACUCCUAUACAAGUAAAGUCUCUAACAGCACAAGUAUAAAAAAUAUAACUGCUGGGCAAACCAACUCUUUUCUCAAACCCAUCAGUUGCCUCAUGAUAUAUAUAUAUAUAUACACAUAUAUAUAUAUAUAUAUAUAUAUAUAUAUACACACACACACCAUGCAUAGAAUUCAUGGAUAAAAGAAAGGAAUUGGAUCUGAUUUGAGGUGGGGGGAUUGCCCCCUCUUGCCUUUAUGUGGCUCCGCCACUAUAUAAAUUAGUUUGGAUAUUUACAUUAAUUAAAAAAAAAAUACUGGUCUAGAAAAGCGAUCUACAAGGUGAUUAUUUAGUUGACUAAUUGAAUCUGUUUUUUAUAAAAAAAAUAUUUUAGAAGAUAAUUUUUAAUAAUUUUAGAUUUUUUUAUAUAUAAAUAUCAAAAAUAAAAUUAAAAAAAUAACAAAAUAUUAUUUUAAUAUAAUUUUAAAUAAAAAACACAUUUAAAAAAACUUAAUAGUAUACUCUCAACCAAGGUUGUCAAUUCCGUUUCGGUAGGUGUUUCGUUUUUUUAAUUGGAAUGGAAUGUUUCAGUUUCGGAGUGUUUCGGCGUGCCGUUCCGGGGUUGUACUGUUCAUAUAUAUAUAUUCAACAAACAUAAUUCAAAUUCAAGAUAAAUUAAUUAUAAAUUAUGCAAUACAAACACAAUGCCAAACAAAUAUAAUUUCAAAAUUUAAAAUAUUUCUAAAUAGUCAAGAUUAAAUAGAUCUUUACCUUAAAGUAAUUCAACUUAAACAAAAUAUCAAAAUAUUAUGAAAGUAAAAUGUUUUAACAUAAAUAUUUUAAAUAUAAAGUUAGGUCAAUGUUAUCAAGGCUAAUUGAAUCUAAAGCAUCCCUUGGUUUGCUCAAAUUUCUACAAAGUAUAAACAUGAAAAAAAAACAUGAAUAUAAACCUUAUAUAUUAGUGAUAAAUCUAAUUUUAAAAAAUUAAUAUCAUUGUUAAUGAAAAUAGUAAUAAUAAUUUUCAAUAUUAUUAUUAAUAUCAUUGUUAUUGAAAAUAGUAAUGAAAAAGAGCCUUUUAUAAUUGGGUGAUUUAAUUAAUUAAAUUGAACAAAAUUCAAUUUGAUUCAAUGGAUUUUCAAGAACGGAACGAAACAAGUGGAAUGAAACCGGAACGUUCCGGGUGGAAUUUAGCCGAAAAAUACAGAACAGACCGAGAUUUAAAAUAAAAUGAAAUUUAUUUUAUUUUUUAAAUUGGUAUGAAAUAUUUCGUUUAUUUCAUACGAAACAAAACAGAAUUGACAACUUGCUCUCAAGCACCCAAAAUAGAGGAUUCAAUUGUAUUGUGGGUUCCACACCAUUUAAAGCUUGCAAAGAAGGAUUUGAAACACAAUCACACUAAAGAUUUGCAAUGGAAUAUAAUAUAAAAUAAUACCCAAUGGCAUCAGCGGACAUGUAAUCAAUAAUAUUAAAAUACAGUAAAUUUUGAUUUAAUUCAAUUAUUGGAUUCUAGGCAGCGUGACAAUGUCAGAAAAUCUUGGAUGAUGGUGACCAAAUAUAUCAGUAAUUUGAGACAACACGUUCCCGAAAGGUAAUAGCUGAUGGUGCCAAAAAUUAAACCAGCUCUCAACUCGCUACAAAUAGCUGCCAUGGCCUUUCAUUCUACCUUAUAUUUCUUUUUUAACUUUCAUGGAAUCCUCUUUGCCUUCCUCCCAAAUCUUGGAUUCUGAUGGAAAUGCUGAGAGGAAAAAUGAAGCUAAAAAUUACAAUGAAGUGAUGUCCACCCUUCCAAAAGUUAAAGGCUUGAGGGGGGAUGAUUAUUACCUGUACCAAGGCUUUUGGUACGCUCCCUUCUUCUUGGAAAGACUCAUGUCUGUUCAAGAGCACUUCCAUCCUCAAUCCACUGAUAUAUUUGUCGCCAGUUUUCCAAAAACUGGCACAACUUGGCUUAAGGCCCUCACUUUUGCUAUUUUCACACGAUCCCGUUUAAGUGGUUCAACAACUAGUUCUUUACUUUCCAAGAUGCCACAUGACUGUGUUCCUUUUUUGAAUUAUAACCUUGCUCAAAACCCCAGUAAUCGGGACUUGACAAUUCCUCUGCUAUCUACUCAUGUUCCUUACAGUUGUUUACCUAAAUCUAUCAUUUCUUCUUGUUGCAAGAUUAUUUACAUUUGCAGGGACGCAAAGGAUGCUUUUGUUUCUUUGUGGUACUUUCAUGCCACGUUGCAAAGGUCGAAAAAUGUUGAGCCUCUUCCUCUGGAAGAGGCUUUUGAGCUGUUCUGCAAUGGAAUUGCAAAUUUUGGACCCUACUGGAACCAUGUUUUAGGGUACUGGAGAGCAAGCUUGGAGUUCCCCGAGAAGAUACUGUUCUUGACAUAUGAGGAAAUGAAGAAAGACACCGCUGCUCAUGUUAAGAAAUUAGCUGAGUUCAUGGGUUGUUCUUUCACCCUAGAGGAAGAGGAGGAAGGGGAGGUGCAAAAGAUAAUAGGCAUGUGUAGUUUUGAGAAGUUGAGCAACUUGGAGGUGAAUAAAAAUGGGAAGUGCCUUCUAGACAUAUCAAUUCCUAUUCCAAAUAGUAUAUUCUUCAGGAAAGGUGAGAUAGGCGACUGGGCAAAUCACUUGACACCUGAAAUGGGAGCACGUCUAGAUGACAUAAUGGAGCGGAAGCUCAAGGGUUCAGGCUUGAAGCUGCCCAGGUGACUGUGCCUGGGCCCCGUUUGCUUAUUAUUAUUGGCUUAGUGGGUUCGUCAAAAGCUGUUAUCAACAUCUCGUGAAACAGCAACCGUGUAUCCCAAUAAAUACCCUCUCUGUUCAUCUCUUGUAUUUCCUAGCAAGUAUUCACAUUUUGUGAAUCAUCCAUGUCAAUAAGCAAUAUUCUUUUGUGAAUCUGUGUUUGUAACUUUCAUUGAUUUCCUUGCAAGUUUGUAAGAAUUAAAAAUGGGAUUCGUUUUUUAUUUAUUUAUUUAACACAAGUGCAUGCAUUCCAUUAAUCAGUGAUAAAAAAAAAUAAAAUUACUCUACUAUAUAAUAUUAGAGUGUUUUCUUCACAGAAAUUGCAGUGUGUUUUCUUCACACUGCAAUACAUGUUUUAAAAGAACCGAGACAACCAUACAUGAGGGCGGAGCAAAUACCAACCGAGACAACCAUCCAUUAAGAUUGUUGAAUUGAAGAUCAAAUGAACAUAGGCGGCACAUCUGCUGAAAGGAUCUCGAAAUGCCUUGUAAUUGGUUAAAAUAAAGAUCAAGAUCUGUAGGAGAACUCGUGUUUUCCACUCCUAAAAUAAGCCCAGUUGCCGGCUUCAUGUGCAACAGAGGCACAUAGAGAAUCUCCCCCCCCCCCCCUCCAGGCUCAGAUCACAAAUCUUCUUACUUCAAACCAAUCUUUUGGAACCGAUAUAUAUGUCGAGUGAUGGCUUGAUUUAUACCGGAGAUUGUGUUGGAAAAUUAAAGAAGCAUGGCUUAAUUUGUACCUUGGAUGCGCAAAUUGAUUACAGGAAAAUAUCAAAAAAAAAUUUCCUUUCUUUAUAACUUAUGAAGAGUAAAAUAAAAAAAAAGUUAAUAGUAAAACAAAAUAACCCCAAGUGUACAUUAUCAAUGCAAAACUAGAUUUUUCCUUAUUUUAUAUCCCUUUCUUUUGAUAUACUUCUUCUUUUAUGCCCCUUUCUUUUGGUAUAUCUCUUCUUUGUAUCUUUUGGUGUUAAUCACUUUGUUGAAUGCCUCUGUUGAUAUCUUUUAUAACUCACUACAGUGAUUUGAACAUUGAAAAUGUUUCCUUUUAAAAAAAAAAAAUAGAGAAGGCAUUUUGAUUUCAUCUUCAAUUUUUCUGCAUGUCUUCUUCUUUCAAAGUAUUGGGUUUAAAACACAAUCAUGCUCUACAUCAUGCUUUGAGUUUUCCAGGUUAUUUUCAGAAAGAUUUGAUAUAUUUGACCUGAAAGAAAAAAAGGAUGUACAAAGCUUUGCAUUUCUGGAACGUCUUUUCAUCAUGCUCUACAUGAUUCAAUCACAUUGCUCACAUCUACAUGAGUAACCAGAAAAGCAAGUAUUUCAUCGGAUUCUACAUGAUUCGAUCACUUCGCUCACAGCUUUAUGAGUCUCUGGUGAUAUCGUGUUUAAUUAAAUAGAAUAUUUAUUAUAAGAAACAGAUUUAUCAAAUAUAAUUGAGUAUAUGCCUCAUCAUAUCAAAUAUUUUAAUUAGAUGUAACUAUCUAGGUGGUGGUUCAGUGGUAAAAGUUUGGGACCAAGAUGUUUGUUCCCUCUGUGGUCUCAGGUUCGAGCCCUGUGGUUGCUCAUAUGAUGGUCAUUGGAGGCUUACAUGGUCGUUAACUUCAGGGCCCGUGGGAUUAGUCAAGGUGCACGCAAGCUGAUCCGGACAUCCAUGUUAAACUAAAAAAAUAUAUAUAUUUUAAUUAGAUGCGUGUGUACAAGUAUUUUAAUUUAUGAUUAAGAAUUUUUUUAUAUCAAAAAAAAAUUAAAAAGUCUGUAUAUUUAUUUUUCCUUGUUAAAACAAUUAUCUGAAAUAGCCAGUAAUCAACUAACUAUGAAAGAUAAGAUUGAGAAUUGAGAAGUUUAUUUGUCAGCAGACAGUAGCUUCAGUAGAUGGAAAAAGACUCUCUAGAUCACCGGAUCAAUUCCCACCUUCAUGAACUAUUUUUUAUUAGUACAGAAAGCUUCAUAUCAGUCAAAACUCUCUCUCUCUCUCUCUCUCUCUCUCUCUCUCUCUAAAUGGAUCAGAGACUACACAAAUAUAGAGGUGGAGCUUCACAUUAAGCUUCAGAUCAAUUUUCUAUUUUAAAAUCUCAUAAGUUUGGUCCAUUGAUUGCCCUAGAUUGCCCUAGAUUUUCCUGUGUUUUAUAUCCUUUUCUUUUGACAUUUUUUUUAAUCUUUUUCCAGGCCAAAAUCCUAAUUUAAUGUUUGAAAUUGAGAUGAUAAUUAUUUAACUAGAAAAUAUAUUAAAAUAAUAUUUUUUAUUUUUAAAAAUUUAUUUUAAUCAUCACCACAUUAAAACAAUCUAAAAUUAUAUAAAAAAAUUAAAAUAAUAAGAUUUAAAAAUAUUUUUUAAACACAAAAACAAACACAAUCAUCACUCAUAUAUCAUGAGAUUUGCAUUUAGACAUUAAAAUUCAAGAAGAAAUUAAGUUCACCGUACUAUUAAUUCAGUCGAUGAAGGAUUAGUCCCAACUACUUUAGGCCACCAUUAAUUACUUUAUUUAAAUGUAUACUUCUUUAUUAAUUCAGUCGAUGAAGGAUUAGUCCCAACUACUUUGGGCAUUUUAACUCCAUCUUCAAUUACUUUAUUUAAAGGUAUCCUUCUUUCUUAGAUAUUGAAUUUUGAAAACACAAUCAUGCUAAAGAUUUGUCAACGAAUUGUUUUUUAAAAUAAAAAAAUAUUUUAAAAAAUAAUUAAUACCAUACUACCGAGCAAAUGAAGUUAUGUGGAGGGUUCCGCACCAUUUAAAGGUUGUAAAGAAAGGUUUAAAACACAAUGACGAUAAAGAUUUGCUAUCGAAUAUAAUAUGAAAUAAUAAUACCCAAUUGCAUCAGCGGACAUGUGAUCAACAAUAUUAAAAUUCUGUAAAUUUUGAUUUAAUUCAAUUAUUGGAAUUCCAGGCAGCGUGGCAAUGUCAGAAAAUCUUGGACGAUGGUGACUAAAUGUUUGUAAAUGGAGACGGCACGUUCGCGGAAGGUAAUAGUCGAUGGUGCCAAAAAUUAAAUCAGCUCUCAACUCGUUACAAAUAGCUGCCAUGGCCUUUCAUUCUACAUUAUUUUUUCUUUUUUCACAUUCAUGGAAUCCUCUUUGCCUUCCACCCAAAUCUUGGAUUCUGGUGAAAGUGCUGAGAGGAAAAAUGAAGCUAAAAAUUACAAUGAAGUCAUGUCCACCCUUCCAAAAGUAAAAGGCUUGAAUGGGUGUGAUUAUUACCUGUACCAAUGCUUUUGGUACGAUCCCUCCUUCUUGGAAGGAAUCAUGUCUGUUCAAGAGCGCUUCAAUCCUCAAUCCACUGAUAUAUUUCUCGCCAGUUUUCCAAAAACUGGCACAACUUGGCUUAAGGCCCUCACUUUUGCUAUUUGUACACGAUCCCGUUUAAGUGGUUCAACAACUAGUUCUUUACUUUCCAAGAUGCCACAUGACUGUGUUCCUUUUAUGGAAUAUGACCUUGCUCAGAACCCAAGUAAUCGGGACUUGGCAAUUCCUCUGGUAUCUACUCAUGUUCCUUACACUUGUUUACCUAAAUCUAUCAUUUCUUCUUGUUGCAAGAUUAUUUACAUUUGCAGGGACGCAAAGGAUGUUUUUGUUUCUUUGUGGUACUUUCUUGCCAGGCUGCAAAUGUCUGAAAAUGUUGAGCCUCUUCUUCUGGAAGAGGCUUUUGAGUUGUUUUGCAAUGGAAUUGCAAAUUUUGGACCCUACUGGAACCAUGUUUUAGGGUACUGGAGAGCAAGCUUGGAGUUCCCCGAGAAGAUACUGUUCUUGACAUAUGAGGAAAUGAAGAAAGACACCGCUGCUCAUGUUAAGAAAUUAGCUGAGUUCAUGGGUUGUUCUUUCACCCUAGAGGAAGAGGAGGAAGGGGAGGUGCAAAAGAUAAUAGGCAUGUGUAGUUUUGAGAAGUUGAGCAACUUGGAGGUGAAUAAAAAUGGGAAGUGCCUUCUAGACAUAUCAAUUCCUAUUCCAAAUAGUAUAUACUUCAGGAAAGGUGAGAUAGGCGACUGGGCAAAUCACUUGACACCUGAAAUGGGAGCACGUCUAGAUGACAUAAUGGAGCGGAAGCUCAAGGGUUCAGGCUUGAAGCUGCCCAGGUGACUGCGCCUGGGUCCCAUUUGCUUCUGAUUAUUGCCGAAGUGGGUUCAUCAAAAGCUGUUAUCAACAUCUCGUGAAACAGCAACUGUGUAUCCCAAUAAAUACCCUCUCUGUUCAUCUCUUGUAUUUCCUAGCAAGUAUUCACAUUUUGUGAAUAAUCCAUGUGAAUAAGCAAUGUUCUUUUGUGAAUCUGUGUUUGUAACUUUCAUUGAUUUCCUUGCAAGUUUGUAAGAAUUAAAAAUGGGAUUCGUUUUUUAUUUAUUUAUUUAACACAAGUGCAUGCAUUCCAUUAAUCAGUGAUAAAAAAAAAAAAAUUACUCUACUAUAUAAUAUUAGAGUGUUUUCUUCACAGAAAUUGCAGUGUGUUUUCUUCCCACUGCAAUACAUGUUUUAAAAGAACCGAGACAACCAUACAUGAGGGCGGAGCAAAUACCAACCGAGACAACCAUCCAUUAAGAUUGUUGAAUUGAAGAUCAAAUGAACAUAGGCGGCACAUCUGCUGAAAGGAUCUCGAAAUGCCUUGUAAUUGGUUAAAAUAAAGAUCAAGAUCUGUAGGAGAACUCGUGUUUUCCACUCCUAAAAUAAGCCCAGUUGCCGGCUUCAUGUGCAACAGAGGCACAUAGAGAAUCUGAAAGCAGUUUUUAUGCACUAUCAGCAGAAUAAUUUGAUCAGUCAGAAUGAUCCCCCCCCCACUAGGCUCAGAUCACAAUUCUUCUUACUUCAAACAAAUCUUUUGGAACCGAUAUGUGGAGGGAUGGCUUGAUUUAUACCGGAGAUUUUGUUGGAAAAUUAAAGAAGCAUGGCUUAAUUUGUACCUUGGAUGCGCAAAUUGAUUACAGGGAAAAAAAUGACAGAAAGUGAGUUGCAGGGAAUGAAAAAGGCAUUAGUAAACUCAACAGCUUGCAGGGCAUCGUUCCUUGGUUUACUCCGUUUUAUUUCUUAUUUUGUUUUUCCUGCCAUUGUCUUAUGUUUGUCUAACUCGCAGUCUGGUCUCUGCAGAGAAUGAGAAAGCACAGACUCUUUAAGAGAAGAUAUUCUCCGGCAAUGGCAUCAAACAGAAAAGUCCGACGUUAACUAAAUGAGUUCAUGGGUCUCUUGUCUGAAUAUAGAAGUGCAGAAACUAAGCUUGACCAAAAACCCCCAUGCUACCAACUACAACUCAACAAGCAACAAAUCAAAUGAAUUGUGAUCCGCCAGUAAACAGCGAAUGGACACUGCCCCAGCAAUAGAUCAUACAAGCUCUGACCAACCGGUCAAAGAUCACGAGGACCCUACCCACUGCCCACUGACUGACAAUUCAUCAAAUAGAUUUAUUGCCGUUCACCACCUUAUUUAGAUGUAUUUUUAAAUAAUAUCCGUGAACUCAAAAAAAAAUCACUCAAAUAUCUCCCUAGAAAACUGACCUUGAACUCUUAACUAGGAGAAAAACAAAGAGGAAAAAUAGAGCUUAUAACAUAGGAAACUACGCUGAAAACUGAGGUGAAAAAAAGUGUAAGAAAUUCUGUAAAAAUGUCCAGAAACACUUUUUAUCACUUUUUACAGAGGAUUUUGAAACCUAAACCAAUGUAGAUUUACUUUUAGUAAUUAUUAAAAAUUAAUUUUUAUCAUUAUCAAUCUUAAUUAUCCGUUAUAAAUUAAAAUUAACCUUAACCCUUUUAGCUUUAAAUAUAAUGCUUUGUUAGAAUUAUAAAAACCAUUCAAAUUGAAAAAAAUUGCUUAGGCUGAAAAAAGUGUUCAGACUCUAUAUUCAUUGACAGUACAAACUGAUGGAUUAGAAAGAAAAAAAAUAUAUAGGCCAAAAAAUUAUAAAUCCAAACCCAAGUUUAAAAUAUAUUGAUAAAAAUUAAUUAUUUAUAGUUUACAAUAAAAUCAGACUUGGGACAAGCAAGCCAAUUAAGCAUGGGACUUCAACUCAAAGUUUACUUUACUUAGGUUUUUUUUUUUAAUCUGAGUGUAUUUUAAUCCAAUUUUAAUUCUUUAUAUUUUUAAUAUAUAAUUAACAAUAAAAAUGUUGUUUUUUUUACGUGAAAUAAAGGUUUUGAAUUUCACAAAGAUAUAUUCAUCAACAAAAUUAAAUUUUUAUUUAUUUAUAAUUUAUUUUAAUUAUUUUAAUAUUUUAUGUUAAAGAGAUUUGGUUGGAGAAUAAGUUUCAAUAAAAUUUAAAUCCGAAAAAUAAGUAGAUUUUAUUUUUAAUUUUAUUUCAAAUAUAUUUAUUUUUUAUGUUUUAAAACAAAUUUUAUCUCAUCUAUGUAUGUAUAAAUAUAUAAUCACAAUUCUCAAUACAGCACUUAUAGUUAGUUAUCGAACGAAAGAAUGUUAUCUCUUUCAGUAUGCCACAGAUAUUCAAAACACGGCGGUCACCCUUAUUAGCUUGCAGUCGUCUAUCGAAGUAUUAUCGCCAAAUCCACAGAAGCAAGGCAAACCACAGUUUUCUCUAGUUAUAGGACUAGACGGUACUGCGCUAGACUGCAGGUUUACAAUAUUUUUUCGAUAAAAUAUUUAAAUCAUGAGAAAAUCAUGCAUGAUUAAAAGAGUAAAAUUCAAAUUAAAAAUAUCAAUACAUGACAAAAUAAAAUUAAAAAAAAUUAAAUAAAAUUUUUAUAAAAAAACUAGAAUAAAAGAGAGGACUGAAACCGAAAAAGUUUAAACAAAAAGGACAUACCUGCAAUUUGAGGGGGGGAGGGAGGAGGAGAAAAAAAAAGGUUCAUCAACAACGAACUGCUCGACCUUCACCUACAUGUAUCGCACCAUGAGAAAGAGGAAGCAGUGAUGCUUCCAACAACACAAUAAAAUGUUUAUUUUUACAACUAGAGGUAUUGCAUGCUAUACUUGAAGUGCUAGCUUUUUAAAUUUUAAUAUUAUUUAUUUUUUUGUUAAAAGAUUACAAUGCGCAAACUAAAAAGAAAAACAAUAUAAAAAGAUAAAGUAUAACCUUGACCUAAAGCUUUUCUUUUUCUUUUUACUUCAAGGAUAUUUAAGUAAGUUUAGUGUACAUUCAAAAGCAUUUAAUGAAAUACCCUUCGACCAAGGUUUUUUUUUUUUUUAAAGUAUAAGACACUUAACAAAAUAAUAAAUAACAAAAAUUAAAAACUUAAAAAGACAAAAAAUACCCUUCGACCAAGGUUUUUUUUUUUUACUCCAAAGCAUUUAAUGAAUCUCGCCCAUAACGACAGCAAGUCUUUAAAAAGUGGAUUUCCUGAUGAAACCUGGAUAGUAUCAGUGCCAGCUCGAGCUCAGAAUGCGGCAUCUAUUGAUUAACUUACCAGUUACCAACACAAGGAGACACACACAACAACUUUAAAAAGGGCAUUAUAUAGCUAAACAUUGAUUAUUAUUUUUAUUUCAUUUUUAAUAUUAUAUUAAUUUUAAAUAUAUAUAUUUUUAAUUUCUCCAUUCAAUAACAAGUUGAAAUUCAUAAUUUUAUUUAAUUCAUUUCUUAUAAUAAUUUUUUUCCCAUCGUUUAAUUAAAUAAAAUAUUUAUUAUAAAAAAUAAAAUUAUUAAACAUAAUUGAGUAUAUGGCUUGUAUUUUUAGGUUAAAUAUUGUAAUUAGAUGUGGGUAUAAGCAUUUUAAUUUAUAAUUAAAAAGAAAAACUAUAUCCAAAAAAGAAUUUAAAAAACCUGUAUAUUUAUUUUUCAAUUAUCUAACCUGCAGCAGUGAAGUGCAAUUGAAAUAGCUAGUAAUCUAACUAAAAAAUUUAAGAUAAGAUUAAGAAAUGAGAAGUUUAUUUGUCAGCAGACAGUAGCUUCAGUAAAUAGAAAAUAUAGACUGUACUGCUGCUGAUCCCGGGAUCAAUGCCCACCUUCAUGGAUUAUAUAUAUAUAUAUAUAUAUAUAUAUAUUCAAUGUGAGAUAUUAAGUCAUUUAGUACAUACUAGUUAGAUGACUUGUGCGGUGCUGCGAGUUAAUUUUUUUUGCAUAAAAAUAUAUAAAAAAACUAAAAUCUAAAAGUAUUAGGUCUUUUUGCAAAGUUAUACCCAAGAAUCUUGGGUUUGGCUGCAACGCCUGACCCAAGAGUAAUAUUUAUAAUAUUAAUUAUAACAUUAAACUUGCAUGACUCAAGUUUAAAUGAGUCUAGAUGCAAUACCAUACCCAAUAGUCUUGGAUGUGGGUCUGGCUGCAAGGUCGUGUAAUAAAAGUGUGAUAAUUAAAUAGAUUAAUUAAAAAUAAAAAAAACAAAGAAAAAAACAAACAUGAAGAAAAAAACUAAUGAAGAAAAAGAAAAAAAAUUUGAAUUAACUGGGUUAACCCUUCAAACCAGGUUAAUCCGUCAAACCUUGGAUUCGUGUCGUGAAAGUUUGAUAACUAAAUAAAAAAAAAAUGAACAUUAACAAACUAAAUUAAAUGAAAAAAAUAAUUAAAAAAAAAAGCAUCAGCCUUUUCACUGUGGACUGCACUGUGCAGUCCACAGUCAAAUGCAUAAAAACAACAAAAAAGCAAAAAGAAAAACUAAAGGCAUCAAUCGAUAACUAAAUAGAAAAAAAAUUUAAUAUUGAUGAACUAAAUUAAAUAAAAAAAAUUAAAUAAAAAGAAGAAAAAACUUAUAAGAAGAAAAAAACUAAUGAAGAAAAAGAAAAAAAAUCUAAAUUAACUGGGUUAACCCGUCAAACCUGAGAUCCGUGUCAUGAAAGUCUGACAACUAAAUAAAAAAAAUUUAAUAUCAAUAAACUAAAUAAAAAAAUUAAUUUAAAAAAAAGGCAUCAGCCUUUUCACCGUGGAUUGCACUGUGCAGUCCAUAGUGAAAGGCAUGAAAAUAAAAAAAACAAAAAAAAACUAAAGGCAUCAGCCUUUUCACUGUGGACUGCAUAGAAUAUUAAAAGAUGAAAUCGGAAGAACAAAACUAAUGAGGAAAAAGAAAAAAAAAAUCUGAAUCAACUAGGUUAAUCCGUCAAAUCAAGUUAACCCGUCAAACUUGAAAGUGUGAUAACUAAAUAGAAAAAAGAUUUAAUAUUAAUGAAAUAAAUUAAAAAAAGAUUAAUUAAAAAGGAAAAAAGCAAAGAGAAAAAAGACCAACAGGAAGAAAAAAACCUAAUGAAGAAAAAGGAAAAAAAUCUGAAUUAAGUGGGUUAACUGGUCAAACCUGGGAUUCGUGUCAUGAAAAUCUGAUAAUUAAACAGAAAAAAUUUAAUAUUAAGAAACUAAAUUAAAAAAAGACUAAUUAAAAAAAGACAAAAAAAAACUAAAGGCAUCAGCUUUUUCACUCUUAAAAAGGAAAAGAGAGAAAAAUAAAAACAAAAGCAAACGCCACGGGUUAAUUUUUUUUUUCUUGCAUAAAAAAUAUUAAAAAAAACUAAGAUCUAAGAGUAUUAGGUCUUUCUGCAAAGAUAUGCCCAAGAGCCUUUGGUUUAGUUGCAACGCUUGACCCAAGAGUAAUAUUUAUAAUAAUAAUAAUAAUAAUAAACUUACAUGACUCAAGUUUAAGUGAGUCUGGCUGCAAGGUCGUGUCAUAAAAGUGUGAUGAUUAAAUAUAUUAAUUAAAAAGAAAAAAACCAACAUGAAGAAAAAAACUAAUGAAGAAAAAGAAAAAAAUAUGAAUUAACUGGAUUAACCCUUCAAACCAGGUUAACCCGUCAAACCUGAGAUUCAUGUUAUGAAAGUUUGAUAACUAAAUAGAAAACAAAAUUGACGGGUUAACCUGUCAAGCCUGGGAUACGUGUCAUGAAAGUCUGAUAAUUAAAUAGAAAGAAAUUUAACAUUAACAAAAUAAACUAAACGAAAAAAAAUUAAUUUAAAAGAAAAAAAGUAAAAAAAAAAUUCUAGGUUAACUCAUCAAACCAAAUUAACCCAUCAAAUCCGGGAUCCGUGUCAUGAAAGUCUGAUAACUAAAUAAAAAAAAUAACAUUAACAAACUAAAUUAAACAAAAAAAAUUCAUAAAAGAAAAAAAAACACAGAAAAAAAACAAAAAAAACAUAAAGGCAAAAAAAACAAAAACAAAAUUAAGUGAGAAUUACUGAUGUGCUUUGCCAAGCUUUGCAACAGAAAUCUCAAGACAUUUUAAAUGCUAUGCAUUUGCUGACUACCAUAAAGACUUUAAUUCAGAAGUUAAGAGAUGAUGGAUUGGAAACUCUUUUAGAACAAGUGACAUCAUUUUGUAAGCAUAAAAACAUUGAAGUUCCUGAUAUGGAUGCUUGUUUUUCUAGUGUGGGACGAUCUCGCUGUAAAACAAAAUCAAUAACAGUUGAGCAUCACUAUCGAGUUGAUAUAUUUAUAGCUAUCAUUGAUCAAUAGUUGCAAGAGCUAAAUAAUAGAUUCUAUGAGCAGGCGAUCGAGCUUCUUAAGUUGAGCAUAGCUUUAGAUCCUAAAAAUAACUAUAAAUUAUUCAGUGUUGAAGAUAUAUGCUAACUUGUUGACAAGUUCUAUCCUGAAGACUUUUCUGACCAAGAAAAAACUCAUUUGAGAUUUCAGUUGCAGCAUUAUGAGCUUGAUGUACCCAAUCAUCCAAAGUUAAAGAAUAUGUCAUCGAUUGCUGAUUUAUGUCAAGGACUGGUUGAAAUAGAAAAAUCAACAAUUUAUCUACUCAUUGAUAAGUUGAUUCGACUUAUUUUGACUCUUCCUGUUUCGACAGCAACUACUGCACGAGCUUUUUCAGCGAUGAAGAUUGUUAAAACAAGACUUCGCAAUCGGAUGGAGGAUGAUUUUCUUGCAAAUUAUUUGAUUGUCUAUAUAGAAAAAGAAAUUGCUGAAAGAUUCACAAUUGAUAUGAUAAUCGAUGAUUUCUACUCCAUGAAAGAAAGACAAAAACAAUUAAAAUAAAUAUGUAAGAAUCAUUCUUUAUUACUUUUUAUUUUAUUUAAAAGUUUUAUCAAACAUAAAUAAUGUAUCGCUUUAGCUAAUGUUUCUUAUAUAUUUUGUAUGUUUAUAUUUGAUAGGUACAAAAACCAACAAAAUUAAAGUGAUGAAUACAUUAUGAAGAUGAAAUUAACUUCAUAGCUUUGACUUAAUUUGAUAUUUGCUUUAAACAUCUUAUCUUAUACAAAAAUCAUAAUAUGUUUGUAAUUACUUUUUUGAAUAAAACUAAAUCAUGUCGUUUUUGUUUUUGUUUUUAUUUUUAUUUUUAUGUAAAGUAAAUUUUUAAAUAAAUUAUAUCUUUUAUUAUUUUAACCCCCAUUCAAAUAAUCCCAGCCCCUGACCGCAAUAACAAUCAAAAUAAAAUCUAAUUCUACCGGCUGCUAAGAAUACUAAAAUAGUGUAAAUUUUGACUUAAUUCAAUUAUUAGAAUUCGGGGCAGAUAACAGUGUUGAAGAAAAUGUCAGAAAAGUAGGGUAAACAGUACAAAUACCUUGGAUGAUGGUGACUAACGCCGUUUGUUUACGCGGGCGCGGGUGCGGUUGCCUUUUAAUUAAUAAAUAUCGGUAGUUGGAGACUUCUUGUUCUCGAAAAGAAAUAGUUAAUAGUGCCAAUAAUUAAUCUGCUCUCAACUUGCUACAAGCUGUCAUUACUCAUUACCAAAAUAUUAAAGAAACAAAUAUUUCCUAUUAGUAGAAAAGCGAUCUAAUAAAGCGAUUGUUCAGUUGACGUUAUUGAAUUGCUUUUUUAUAAAAAGUUAAUUUUUAAAUAUUUAUAGAUUAUUUUAUAUAUAAAUUUAAAAAAAAUCUUAAAAAAUUUAAAAAUAUAUUUUAAUAUAAUUAAAAAAAACAUUUGAAAAACAAUUAAUAGUAUAGUCUCAGGUCUCAACCACCCAAAAUAUACAUUUGAAAAACAUUUUAUAUACCUUGGAUUAAAUUGUGUUGUAGGUUCCACACCAUUUAAAGCUUGCAAAGAAGGAUUUAAAACACAAUCACGCUAAAGAUUUGCAAUCCAAUAUAAUAUGAAAUAAAACCCCAUUGCAUCACCGGACAUGUGAUCAAUAAUAUUAAAAUACUGUAAAUUUUGAUUUAAUUCAAUUAUUAGAGCUUGAGGCAGCGUGACAAUGUGAAAGAAAAUGUCAGAAAAUCUUGGAUGAUGGUGACCAUAUCAGUAAUUUGAGACAGCAAGUUCUCGAAAGGUAAUAGUUGAUGGUACCAAAAAUUAAACCAGCUCUCAACUCGCUACAAAUAGCUGCCAUGGCCUUUCGUUCUACAUUAUAUUUCUUUUUUUACUUUCAUGGAAUCCUCUUUGCCUUCCACCCCAAUCUUGGAUUCUGGUGAAAGUGCAGAGAGGAAAAAUGAAGCAAAAAAUUACAAUGAAGUAAUGUACACCCUUCCAAAAGUUAAAGGCUUGAGGGGGAAUGAUUAUUACCUGUACCAAGGCUUUUGGUACUCUUCCUUCUUCUUGGAAGGACUCAUGUCUGUUCAAGAGCACUUCAAUCCUCAAUCCACUGAUAUAUUUCUCACCAGUUCUCCAAAAACUGGCACAACUUGGCUUAAGGCCCUCGCUUUUGCUAUUCUUACACGAUCCCGUUUAAGUGGUUCAACAACUAGUUCUUUACUUACCAAGAUGCCACAUGACUGUGUUCCUUUUUUGGAAUAUCACCUUGCUCAAAACCCAAGUAAUCGGGACUUGGCAAUUCCCCUGCUAUCUACUCAUGUUCCUUACAGUUGUUUACCUAAAUCUAUCAUUUCUUCUAGUUGCAAGAUUAUUUACAUUUGCAGGGACGCAAAGGAUGCUUUUGUUUCUUUGUGGUGCUUUUUUCCGCGCAUCAAAUGUCGAAAAAUGUUGAACCUCUUCCUCUGGAAGAGGCCUUUGAGAUGUUUUGCAACGGAAUUUCAGUCUUGGGACCAUAUUGGGACCAUGUUUUAGGGUAUUGGAGAGCAAGAUUUGAGUUCCCUGAGAAGAUAUUGUUCUUGACAUACGAGGAAAUGAAGAUAGACACCGCUGCUCAUGUUAAGAAACUAGCUGAGUUCAUGGGUUGUUCUUUCACCUUCGAGGAAGAGGAGGAAGGGGAGGUGCAAAAGAUAAUAAGCAUGUGUAGUUUUGAGAAGUUGAGCAACUUUGAGGUGAAUAAAAAUGGGAAGCACCGUCCCGUCCGGACACAUCAAUUGCUAUUCAAAAUAGUUUAUACUUUAGGAAAGGUGAGAUAGGCGACUGGGCAAAUCACUUGACACCUGAGAUGGGAGCGCGUCUAGAUGACAUAAUGGAGCGGAAGCUCAAGGGUUCAGGCUUGAAGCUGCCCAGGUGACCGUGCCUGGGGUCCCAUUUGCAUAUGAUUAUUGCCGAAGUGGGUUCAUCAAAAGGUGUUAUCAGGAUGUCGUGAAACAGCAACUGUGUAUCCCAAUAAAUACCCUCUCUGUUCAUAGCAAGUAUUCACAUUUUGUGAAUCUUCCAUGUCAAUAAGCAAUAUUCUUUUGUGAAUCUGUGUUUGUGACUUUCAUUGAUUUCCUUGCAUGUUUGUAAGAAUUCAAAAUGGGAUUCGUUUUUUUUUUUUAUUUAACACAAGUGCAUGCAUUCCAUUCAUCAGUUUGAUAAAAAAUAAAUUUACUCUAAUAUAUAAUAUUAGAGUGUUUUCUUCACAGAAAUUGCAGUGUGUUUUUCUUCACAGCUAUACAUGUUUGAAAAGAACCGAGACAACCAUACAUGAGGGUGGAGCAAAGACCAACCGAGACAACCAUCCAUUAAGAUUGUUGAAUUGCAGAUCAAAUGAACGUAGGCGGCACAUCUACUGAAAGGAUCUCGAAAUGCCUUGUAAUUGGUUAAAAUAAAAGAUCAAGAUCUGUAGGAGAACUCGUGUUUUCCACUCCUAAAAUAAGCCCAGUUGCCGGCUUCAUUUGCAACAGAGACACAUAAAGAAUCUGAAAGCAGUUCUUAUGCACUAUCAGCAAAAUAAUUUGACCAGUCAGAAUGAUUUUUUUCCCCCUUACUAGGCUCAGAUCACAAUCCUUCUUACUUCAAACAAAUCUUUUGGAACCGAUAUGUCGAGGGAUGGCUUGAUUUAUACCGGAGAUUUUGAUGGAAACUUAAAGAAGCGUGGCUUAAUUAUACCUUGGAUGCGCAAAUUGAUUACAGGGAAAAAAUGACAGAAAGUGAGUUGCAGGGAAUGAAAAAGGCAUUUGUAAACUCAACACCUUUCAGGGCAUCGUUCCUUGGUUUACUCCCUUUUAUUUCUUAUUUUGUUUUUCCUGCCAUUGUCUAAGUUUUUCUAACUCGCAGUCUGGUCUCUGCAGAGAAUGAGACAGCAAAAACGCUUUAAGAGAAGAUAUUCUCCGGCAACGGCAUCAAACAGAAAAGUCUGACAUCAACUAAGUGCGUGUUUGACACUCCGGUUAUGUUUACAUAAAAAACAUCGUUGUCAUGUGUUUGGUUACAGUCUAAACAUAAUUUUCUGUUUGUGAGACCCGUUAUCAUUUGCUUUUAAACCGCAAGAUAACCAAAAGCAACUUCAAGCUGCCUUUUGUGUUGAGUUGCAAACUUUAUAAACAAAGGCCACAAGAAAAAGAGCAGAAACAUAGCAGUGAAUAGUAAACAGUGGAGAGUAGCUCCCUCUCACCACCGGCAUCCACCGUUUCCACCGCCAGCCACUGCUCUUCCUCUUCCCCUUCUCCUUCUCCUUUAUCUUCUGCAUUGUCCACUGUUCACGUUGCAUGUGAACAGUGGAGAGCAGCUCACCACCGGCCUCCGCUGUUUCCACCGCCAGCCACUACUCUUCCUCUUUCCCUUCCCCUUCUUCUUCUUCUUCUACAUUUUCCACUGUUCACAUGAACAGUGGAGAGCAUCUCCACUAUUCAUGGCCGGAUUGGGUCUGACCCAAACCUAAAUGCAUUGGACUGGGUCCGACCAAGUAAAAUAAAAAAAUCUAAAAACAUUUCUUAGAUAUUGUGUUUUAUUUGAAAAACUAGUGUUUAAAAUUAUUCAAUGACACUAUAUAAUUAUAUUAGAAGGAGAUCGCAUGAUGACAUAGCAUUUGCAGAAUUUGAUUGCAAUCCCAAUUUUGUUCCUAAUGAUAUUUUACCUGAUGUGAUGAUAUUUUACCUGAUGUUGGUAUACGUUCAAGAAGCCAUGAAAACUGUAGUUCUUGUCGGAUGGAUUUCGUACGUGAUUGAAUUGCAAAUAGUUUAAUAAAACAAUAAAAAAUACUUUAUAUAAAGUAUUGUUUAUUUCAUGAUUUAAUAGCAGUAGUUAAAUCUAUAAUAUUUCAAUUAAAAACCAUCAAUAUUAAUAUAUGUUUUUUUUAAUUAUUUUAUAACCUUAAUUUGAAAAAUAUUCUUUAAACCAAACACAUUAAACUACUUUUUGUUCAACCUCAAUUUCAACCACAAUUUUAACCAAAUAUAUAUUUUUUCAAACCAAUCUCAACUAAAAGUAAUUUUUAUAAAACAACUUUUUCAAACUAUAACCACAACAGCUACCACAAUACCAAAUACACAUAAAAAAAACUGUAAUGAUAAGCAAGUUAAAGUGCCACCAUUGAUUUAGGAUCUGCUUUAGAUCUUAUAAGGUGAAAGUAAAACACAAGGAAAUGCAUGCAUGCACACCACUAAUCUUUGAUUCUGGCGAGAACAGUGAUGACUACACUCAGAACCAUAUAGAAUUACAUUCCAAGAUGAAGAAAUUAAUAACAGAGCAGUGCUAUAAAGCUAAAUGUGAGAACCAAAGAUUAAUAAGCAAUGCUGAAAAUUUUAUCAUGCAUAAGAUGAGAGAAGCACAGGACAGAUUUUAUCAAAUCUAUAGUUUUUCUUCAAUAAUAAUAAUAUUUUUUAAAAAUUUAAUAAUAAUAAAAAAAAAAAACUCAUGUUCCUUGGCUCUUUCUCUUGCCAAACUGAAGCUACCAUAGUCAAAUCCAAGUAACUUAGAUGUCACGCUCUUGCUAAACCCAAGUUAUUUGGGUAUGACAUCUCAUGCUGGACUCAUAGCAUUCCAGAUCAAAGGUGUUGAUAUCUAACAAUAAUACCUCACCCGAGCCCUAAGAUGUGAUUGCUUUUCUAGACCCGAGGGCCAAGGCACCAAGACACUAUUCACUAUAAGUCAAGUCAAUGAAUCAAUCAAUCGAUUUUAAAGAUCAAGUUUUUUUUUUAAUAGAGAAACAAAACUUUUAUUAACAUUGAAAUAACUCUUAAAAUCUUAAUAAAAUUAAUUUGAAGUAAAAAUAAUAUUAAAAGAAAUAUUCAGAAGCACUUUUUGAUUGUAAAAUCAAACACACUAAAAUCAUGUAGAUUUUCAUUUAGACAUUAAAAUUCAAGAAGAAAUUAAGUUCACAGUACUAUUAAUUCAAUCGAUGAAGGAUUAGACCCAACUACUUUAGGGCCACCAUUGACAUUGAUUACUUUGAAUAAUUUUAAUUUAUAGGCAUAAAAAAUUAAUACAUAUCUUUAAGAGGAUCAAUUUUAGAUUAUCUCUCUCUCUCUCUCUCUAUUUUUUUUUUGGUUUUCAAAUAUUUGACAUUUUCGUUUAGAUAAGCUCUAGUGUGUGUUUUUUUAAGAUUAUUUUAAAUCAUGUUUCUUGAAAUGUCAAAAACAUUUCAUGGAUUAAUUUAACUUAAUAACGCCAAAGAAUUAGGAAUUAAAACUGACAAUUUCCACCAUGUAAGAGUACCUAAUUGAAAAUUUACUUUCUUAUCAUUUACCUCAAUUAAGCGGAAGCAUGAUCAUGAGAAGGGAUUUGGAGAAAGAAUUAUAAACAGAGAAUAAGAGAAAAUGUAAUGUGUAUAGAUUUUCUUAAUGAAUUAAUUAUGAUACAACAGAAGCUCAUAUAUAUAUAUAUAUACAUUCUAAACUAAUCAGUUAUGAAAUGUUAUUACAAAUAUAAUUUGAAUUUCAAUUUUAAAAUCAUGAUUAGUGCAGGUUUAUCAAUGCAGCAGAAUAUCCAUCAUAAACAAGAAGUUCACAGUUACAAAGUUUGAAUCUUUGUAACUGUAACUCUCUUUUGAAACUCUCUUCUUGGUCUUCAAUAUCCGUUAGCUAGCUGGAGAUGUAACAGUUACAAAGUUUGAAUCUUUGUAACUGUAACUCUCUUCUUGGUCUUCAAUGUCUGUCAGUUACAAAGUUUGAAUCUUUGUAACUGUAACUCUCUUAUGCUUAACAUUCCCCUGCAAACUGAUGGGGAUAGGAAUCACCAUCAAUUUGGACCGUAAAAACAUAAACCUUGCUGUAGUAUGACCUUUGGUGAAGACAUCUGCAAUCUGGUCAUAUGUUGAAAUAUAUCGUACAAGAAUAUCCUUAUUAAGAACUUUUUCACGGAUGAAGUGAUAAUCCACCUCUAUGUGCUUCGUUCGGGCAUGAAAAACAGGAUUAGAGGCAAGAGAUAUUGCACCUACAUUAUCACACCAUAGUGUAGGAGGUGACGACAAUGAAAUGCCAAGAUCUUGCAAUAACAUUCGAAGCCAAUAUAGUUCAGCAGUGACAAGAGCCAUGGAUCGAUAUUCGGCCUCAGUACUGGAUUUAGACACAACACUUUGUUUCUUUGCACUCCAGGAUAUGAGAUUUUGGCCUAGAAACACAAUAUAACCACUUGUAGAUUUUCUAUCAUCAGGAUUCCCAGCCCAAUCUGCAUCACAGAAAGCAUCUAAUGUUGUUGUCGAUUGAGUGUAGUGAAUACCAUAAUCAAUUGUUCCUUUCAAGUAACGAAGAACUCUUUUGGUAGCAAUCCAGUGUGGUUCUCGUGGAGCAUGCAUGAAUUGGCAUAAUUGGUUCACUGCAUAGCUGAUGUCAGGUCUUGUUAAAGUGCAAUAUUGAAGAGCACCAAUAACUUGAUGAUAUUCAGUUGGAUCAUUCAAUAUCCGUUAGCUAGCUGGAGAUGUAACAGUUACAAAGUUUGAAUCUUUGUAACUGUAACUCUCUUAUGCUUAACAUUUGGGAGGCACUUAGAUUAGGCUCUUCUCUAGUCUUGAGAAGCAAAACCAAUAGAGACGUGAUUGCGCACUCCCUGAGCUAUAUAGUAAGUGGCUGCAAACAAAUUGUCAGCACCAAUUCAGGUCCGGAAAAUUAAAGCAUUGAAGCAUAAAAGGUGACCUAACCUAAUUAAGCAAAUUACUACUUAUUCCAGCAUCACCUAGGAGUGAGACAGCCAGCCCAUCCAGUGUCUACAUGGUAAGGGAAUAAUUCCUUCAAGAAUGCAGAGAAAAUUAUACUUGCAAUACAACUAUAAACGAGAUGGUACAGUGCGGAAGGCAAGAUGUUAAAUCAAUUGAUCUUAUUAUAAUACUGUGAAAUAUGAUCAGGACAAAAAAAUAAAUAAAGAAAGAAAGAGUUGUUUAUUUUACAAUGAUCGAUAUGAUGCUUCUUUGCAUGUGGAAUCUUCGUCAAAGACUUGUUGAAAAUGCCAAAUUGUGAUCCACUUUUGGCUGUGUCAAAUGCAUGGGUGGGGCUUCACACAGAGCUAUUACCCCUUGUGUAAACUCAACGCCAGUUUUCAUGAGUUCUUUGGGAUUCUAACAUAGUAAAAAAAAGAAAGAUAAAAUAACAAAGUGUAAAGAAUAUUUAGUGAAAUAGAUAUUCGUGAUUAAUCAGUAGCAAUUAUUAUAUGCUGGCUCUCUCGGGUUUACUUGACAGAAGAUUUAUUAAAAAGAGUUGAUAAAGGAGAAAGAAAAGAAAAGAAAAUCUUCAAGGUAUAUCAAAACUCUGAUAAUAAUAUUAUUGGUAUUGUUAAAAAAAUCUCGACAAGACAAAUCGAAAAAUAACAAUGAAGGUCAUCAAUGACGAUAAAAAUAAGUCAUACGAGUGGCCCAAGAUAAGUGAGUUUUAAUACUUUUGAACAGCUUGUAUGAUUCAUUUUAUUCACUAUUUAUAAUCUUUUUUGAUGCUGUUAAAUUCAUCUUGUAAUGAUGUUGAUAAUGUUAUCAUUAUAAUUUCAAUGUAUUUUUAUUUUUAUUAUUAUUUUUUGUUUUGCUCUCUCUCCUCUCUCAUUGUAAUUUAUGAAGAGUAAGAGAGGGGGAAAAAAAAAACCCUAGUCUUCCAAUUUAAUCUGGCUGAAUACUACUAUCUCAAUCUUAUUCACUACUUUGUCAAAGCAAAGUAGAUUUUUCCUUAAAUAAGAUCUAAUCCACCGGCGGAUAGGUGAUCAAGAAUAUUAAAUUAGUGUAAAACUUGAUUUAAUUCAACAUUAUAAUUAGAGGUGCUAUAAUAAUGUGAAAAAAAGAAUAAAAAAACUAGAUGAUGGCGACCACAUAUCAAUAAUUCCAGACAUCACGUGGAGCACUUUCAUCAUCAUUAUUAUUAUUGGUAUAAUAAUGUUUGUUGUAUUAUUUUUUAAUUGUUAAGUUGUUUACUAUAUGUUAAAAUUUCAAGAUCUUCAAAGAUUGGGAAGAUCGGAUCUAAAGUUACUAUGGGACUGUCUUUAUUUUCCUAUUUGGAUUUUUUUAUUUAUAUUAAGAAUUUAAAUUUAAUUAGUAUUUUAUUAUUUAAAAAUUUUAAUGGUAAAUUGAUUCUAUUAGUUAGGUAAAUUUUAAAUAUAAAUUAUUUUUCUAUACAAAAUUUUAAAUCUAGAACUAAUAUAAAUAAAAAUAUUUAGUUUAUUUUUGUUCGAGGAUUCAUAUUAUUAUUUAAAUUUUUUUAUAAAUAUUUAGAGAUUUUUUCUAAUUUCCUAUGGUGUUAGGGAUUAUAACCUUAAGGUUUGGUUUGAAAUAAUGAUGACAGUUAUUUCUUAAAGUGUUUUUCACUUGAAAAUACAUUAAAAUAAUAUUUUUUUUAUUUUUUAAAUUUUUUUUUGAUAUCAGCAUAUCAAAACAAUUCAAAAACACCAAAAACUUAAUUUGAAAAAAAAUCAAAAUUUAUAAAAACCCCGGUUAAAAUGUUUUACCAAACACUUCUUAGUUUUUAAUAUUAAUACAUCAAAACAAUCCAAAAAUAUUAAUUUAAAAUUUUUAAAAACUCCGGUUGCGUUUGUAAGAUGUGUUGCGGCUCUCAACUUGCUACAAUGGCCUUUCUUUAAUAUUUUAUUUACACCAUUCAUGGAACCCUCUUUGCCUUCCACACAAAUCCCGGAUUUUGGUGAAACUGCUAAGAGGAAAAAUGAAGAGCUUUCCAAAGGCCAUGCUAAAACUACAAAGAAGUGAUCUCUACCUUUCCAGAAGUUAAAGGCUUUUGGGACGUUCCGCUCUUCUUGGGAAGACUCAUGUCAGUUCAAGAACACUACAAGCCUCAAUCCACUGAUAUAUUUGUCGCCAGCUUUCCAAAAACGAAGGAAAUCUUUGGUUAAUGUUCUCUGAAUCUCUCCUUUUCUCCUUCAAGAGUGAAAUUUAUGUGCCUUUCGUACCUUUUUACGUUAGAACAUUUCAUUUGUUCUUGUUUUCUAAAUUGAGUCUUUUCUAUGCGUUUUAUUAUUUUAUUUAUUGGGUAUUUGAGAGUGUAGUAAUAGUUAUAAUUUAAAGUGUUUUUAUUCAAAAAUAUAUUAAAAUAAUAUAUAUUUUUAAUUUUUUAAUAUUCAUCUUUUGACAACAUCACUCCAAAACAUUAGAAAACAUAAAAAAAAAAAAAACAAUUAGAAAACAAUUAGAAAACGCAAGAUUGCAUCAAUGCUAAAUGCAAUAUAUAUAUAUAGGUGCGCGCGCGCGCGUGUGUGAGAGAGAGAGAGAUCCACCUGUGUGUGAAAUGCAUAGUGAUGUUCCACAGCGAGCCAUUAUCUAUUAUGUAAAAUCUCUGAGAAAUGUCAUAGAUCAAUUGGUCGAUAUAGCAAAUUGAUAGGUUAAAGCUGCUCAUAAUCAAUACCUCUAAAAGAUUAUCUUUGGUGGAGAUGAAAACUUUUUGAUAUGUAAAUAAGUAUUUAAAAAAAAAUUAAAUAUUCUAUAAAGAGAUGUUCUGAAAAUACAAAUGCAGUAGAGAAUUGGAGAUUGUGAAUCUUUAUUAUGAAGGUCUCAUGAUAUAUUUAUAGCUCGAAUCUUGUCAUUUUGUGAAAAUAAGAGUUUGCAGUGUAAUUAACCUGAUAACAUUUAAUGAGGAAUAAAUAUCAUUUACAUGAUGGGAAUAUGGUGGGUCCUCGAAGGAGUUUUAUACACCUUAAAAGGUAUCAGAAAAUUAGAGUUUAAGAUAUCAAGUGUAGCUGAGCUUAUAGAGAUCAAGUUCUUUCUUGAGAUUAAAUCCAAGGGAGGUUUGUCAUUCCCCUGGACAUGCCAAGGAAGAAUGGUUAUUAUCUUGGACUUGGUUGGUUGCCAAAUCCAAGCAUCUUGGGCAUGACAUGCGUGCCAGAUCCACACUACCUUGAAGUUGGAGCACUACUAAGUCCAAGCGCCUCGGGUCUGACAUGCAUGCCAGACUUAUACUACGCUGGACUUGGUGCAUUACUAAGUCCAAAUGCCUUGGGUCUGAUAUGCCUGUUAGACCUAUAUUAUCUUGGGCUUGACGCAUUACUAUAUUCAAGCACCUUGAACUUAAUUAAUUGUCAAGUCCAUGCAUCUUAGAUUUAGAUCUAACAUAUACACUAGACUCAUAUUACAUUGAAUCUAGCGCAUUACAAAGUUAUAAUGCCUUGAAUUAAGUAUAUGUGCCACAUCCAUACAUUUUAAAAAACCAAACGAAAACUAAAUAAAAAGUUGACUCAUCGCUAAUCUAUAAAUACUAUCUACAUAAUGGCCUUAGUUGAUAUCUUCUACCGCUUACUACAUUUACUUGAAUAAUGAAAAUGUUUUUUUUUUUUAAUGGAAAAGAGAUUUUAACUCCAUCUUCAAUUACUAUAUAAAUGUUUCCUUGGGUUUUGAAAACGCAAUCAUGCUAAAAAUUUAUUAUCUAAUAUAAAAUAAAAUGUAUUUGUUUUUAUAUUUUAAAAAUGUUUUUUUUUUAAUUUUUUAAUUUUCAUCUUGUUUUGAUGUGUUAAUAUUAAUAAUAAAUUUUAAAAAUAAAAAAAAUAUUAUUUUAAUAUAUUUUUUAAAUUAAAAAUAUUUUAAAAAAUAACUAUUACAACAUUAACGAAUAAGAUUUAAUAUAAAAAACAUUCUAAUUGCAUCAGCUGAGAGGUGAUCAACAAUACCGCAUUCCCGAACUUCACAUCCCUAUAUUAAUGGAUUGUGUUGUGGGCUCCACGCCAUUUAAAGCUUGUAAGAGAAACCACACCUCUAAAUAGAAACCACACGAUCACGCUAAAAGAUUUGCUAUCGAAUAUAAUAUGAAAUAAAACCCAAUUGCAUCAGCGGACAUGUGAUCAAUAAUAUUAAAAUAAGGUAAUAGUUGAUGGGCCACAAAUUAAACCAGCUCUCAACUCGCUACAAAUAGCUGCCAUGGCCUUUCAUUCUACGUUAUAUUUUCAUUUUUUACAUUCAUGGAAUCCUCUUUGCCUUCCACCCAAAUCUCGGAUUCUGGUGACAGUGCAGAGAGGAAAAAUGAAGCUAAAAAUUACAAUGAAGUGAUGUCCACCUUUCCGAAAGUUAAAGGCUUGAAUGGGUAUGAUUAUUACCUGUACCAAGGCUUUUGGUACGCUCCCUUCUUCUUGGAAGGACUCUUGUCUGUUCAAGAGCGCUUCAAUCCUCAAUCCACUGAUAUAUUUGUCGCCAGUUGUCCAAAAACUGGCACAACUUGGCUUAAGGCCCUCACUUUUGCUAUUUUCACACGAUCCCGUUUAAGUGGUUCAACAACUAGUUCUUUACUUACCAAGAUGCCACAUGACUGUGUUCCUUUUUUGGAAUAUCACCUUGCUCAAAACCCCAGUAAUCGGGACUUGGCAAUUCCUCUGGUAUCUACUCAUGUUCCUUGCACUUGUUUACCUAAAUCUAUCAUUUCUUCUUGUUGCAAGAUUAUUUACAUUUCCAGGGACGCAAAGGAUGCUUUUGUUUCUUUGUGGUACUUUCUUGCCAGGCUGCAAAUGUCGAAAAAUGUUGAACCUCUUCCUCUGGAAGAGGCAUUUGAGUUGUUUUGCAAUGGAAUUGCAAAUUUUGGACCAUAUUGGGACCAUGUUUUAGGGUAUUGGAGAGCAAGCUUC
RNAcentral lists this long non-coding RNA (38100 nucleotides) under Populus trichocarpa (black cottonwood). Its description in RNAcentral is "long non-coding RNA (PTRI_LNC002684)". The record is from RNAcentral. Lineage: Eukaryota; Viridiplantae; Streptophyta; Magnoliopsida; Malpighiales; Salicaceae.